This 146-nucleotide ribosomal RNA is filed under the name Gammaproteobacteria bacterium. Its description in RNAcentral is "partial 23S ribosomal RNA". It matches the Rfam family "Bacterial large subunit ribosomal RNA", at positions 2789 to 2925 of the family's 2925-position model. The record is from RNAcentral. Lineage: Bacteria; Pseudomonadati; Pseudomonadota; Gammaproteobacteria.
GAAGCCUCCUUCGAGACUAGAUCUCCCUGAGGACUUGAUCCUCCUGAAGUGCCGUUGAAGACGACGACGUUGAUAGGCUGGGUGUGUAAGCGCUGUGAGGCGUUGAGCUAACCAGUACUAAUUGCACGUGAGGCUUGACCAUAUAA